This 230-nucleotide ribosomal RNA is filed under the name uncultured bacterium. RNAcentral describes it as "partial 16S ribosomal RNA". It matches the Rfam family "Bacterial small subunit ribosomal RNA", at positions 562 to 791 of the family's 1533-position model. The record is from RNAcentral.
AAAGGGUGCGUAGGCGGGCAAUUAAGUCAGGGGUGAAAUCCCGAGGCUCAACCUCGGAACUGCCCUUGAUACUGGUUGUCUUGAGUCCGGAAGAGGUGAGUGGAACUGCGAGUGUAGAGGUGAAAUUCGUAGAUAUUCGCAAGAACACCGGUGGCGAAGGCGGCUCACUGGUCCGGAACUGACGCUGAGGCACGACAGCGUGGGGAGCAAACAGGAUUAGAUACCCUGGU